AUUGAACGCUGGCGGCAGGCCUAACACAUGCAAGUCGAGCGGGGUAGCAAUACCCUAGCGGCGGACGGGUGAGGAAUGCAUCGGAACGUGCCGAGUAGUGGGGGAUAACGCAGGGAAACUUGCGCUAAUACCGCAUACGCCCCGAGGGGGAAAGUGGGGACCGCAAGGCCUCACGCUAUUUGAGCGGCCGAUGCCCGAUUAGCUAGUUGGUGAGGUAAAGGCUCACCAAGGCGACGAUCGGUAGCUGGUCUGAGAGGAUGAUCAGCUACACUGGGACUGAGACACGGCCCAGACUCCUACGGGAGGCAGCAGUGGGGAAUAUUGGACAAUGGGGCAACCCUGAUCCAGCGACGCCGCGUGUGUGAAGAAGGCCUGCGGGUUGUAAAGCACUUUUAGUGGGGAUGAAAAGCACCGGGCUAAUACCCAGGUGUCUUGACCUAAACCCAAGAAAAGCACCGGCUAACUCUGUGCCA
Molecule: ribosomal RNA, 473 nt
Filed under: uncultured bacterium
Lineage: Bacteria
Description: bacterial SSU rRNA
Rfam family: Bacterial small subunit ribosomal RNA
Source: RNAcentral